This 497-nucleotide ribosomal RNA is filed under the name uncultured bacterium. RNAcentral's name for it is "partial 16S ribosomal RNA". It matches the Rfam family "Bacterial small subunit ribosomal RNA", at positions 28 to 507 of the family's 1533-position model. The record is from RNAcentral.
GAUGAACGCUGGCGGCGUGCCUAAUACAUGCAAGUCGAGCGAACGGACGAGAAGCUUGCUUCUCUGACGUUAGCGGCGGACGGGUGAGUAACACGUGGAUACCCUACCUAUAAGACUGGGAUAACUUCGGGAAACCGGAGCUAAUACCGGAUGAUAUUUUGAACCGCAUGGUUCAAAAGUGAAAGACGGUCUUGCUGUCACUAAUAGAUGGAUCCGCGCUGCAUUAGCUAGUUGGUAAGGUAACGGCUUACCAAGGCAACGAUGCAUAGCCGACCUGAGAGGGUGAUCGGCCACACUGGAACUGAGACACGGUCCAGACUCCUACGGGAGGCAGCAGUAGGGAAUCUUCCGCAAUGGGCGAAAGCCUGACGGAGCAGCGCCGCGUGAGUGAUGAAGGUCUUCGGAUCGUGAAACUCUGUUAUUGGGGAAGAACAUAUGUGUAAGUAACUGUGCACAUCUUGACGGUACCUAAUCAGAAAGCCACGGCUAACUACGUG